GCCAGCCCGCCCGGCUGGAGAGCGUGCCCGCCUGGAGCGAGCACGCACGCACACGUUUGGAGAGCACGCUCUGCUGGAGAGCGCGCGUGCACGGCUGGAACCGGCCCCAAGUCAGGCACCGGGACACAGGUGACAGCAGGUCCCGACGUGCCGGUGCUGGUGGGACUGCACUUCCCGUUCCGGCUGCACUUUUCAGAAGCACAUGGACAGAGCGGUUCCAAACAGGCAGAUACCUCGUCACUUGAUUUCCGGAGUCUUGGUAAGGCGGCGGAAGUUUGCCGGGAGUGAGCAUUUUAGAUGUUCGGGCUGCGCUCAGGAACCUCAGGAACCACAGACUGGGUGACGUGGGAACAACGACGUCCACUUCCUCGGUCCCGCAGGCUCGGCGUCCGAGAUCACGGCGCCAGAAGAUUCGGGGGAACCCGCUCUGGUUCCCAGAUGCCGACUUCUCGCCGUGUCCUCACGUGGUGCAGGGCCACGGGCCGGCAGGAGUCUCUGCUGCACGGGCACCACUCCCCCAUCACGCAGGCGCCACCCUCCUGCCAUCACCCGCACAGCCACGCUGGGGGGCGGGUUCAACACGUGAACUUCGAGAGGACACAACUGUUUUUAGUGCAGAGCAGUAGGACGAACAUUAAUUUGACCGAGUUUGUGUGUCCAAAACAGAGUUUGGGAGAAAGGAUAUAUAUUUUAUUGGUACCUAACAAUAAGUUUACUUGAGAUGAGAAUCUUCAAUAAUAUGUGUUUAUCCCAAGAAAAACUUUUCACCUGUAAUAAACUUUUCCUUUGAAACCGGAAUUCAAGGUAAAUGCAUAACACAAAGAACAUGCACAGUGUUUCCUCCAGGUAAACCAGAGUUCCUGUUUGCCCUCAGGUGGGCUCUCUGGUUACUGUUUAUUGUGACUCCUACGCAGGAGUAGAGUCGUAUCCCCAUAGGUUGGGGGGGGGGGGUUAGAUUUCGGGAGCCCUGCAGAUAACGUGGGGACCACCGCCCAUCAUGGUUCGUGAAAGGCCUUUUCAGAAAUCGGCUUCGAGGCGAUCUGGGGAUUUCUGUGCAAAGCCCUCUCUCACCGACGCUCGGCGGCAGAGAUGAGAGGUUCGCCAGCGGCCUUAUGGAAUGUCACGUGGCCUUCUUCCUUUAGGAGUUAGGGAUUUUCUGUGCCUUCAUAAGAGCUCAGAGUGAGCCUAGACGCAUUUAAAAAAUGCAAGGUCGGGCCACGGUCCUGGGCCAUGGCUCUGCCUUAUCGGCUUCAGAUCUGACAUCCUCAGGACUGAUGAAAUUAUUGUCAGCUUAGCCCCCAGAGCCUUGAUCCCACCCUAAAGGAAAAGCUCAAGUGACUCAACCGUGGAAGUGCCCGGAACGUGCAGCCGGACCCACAGUUGAGCACUUCAGGGUGAUUGCUGGUGUUCACUUAUGUAUAUUUUAUUCAGAGAAUAAUUCAGUCACUCUUGACUCAUUCCCUCUAAUUUCAAACUCAGGGUGUAAAUAAUUUGAGUGGUUGUCUCUAUUUUUUUAUUAUUAAUAAAGAUCUUUAAGUUGUUCGAGAGCACAGGGAACCCGGUGGCUCAGUCGGUGGAGUGUCCAACUCCUGAUUUCAGCUCAGGUCAUGAUCUCAUUGUGAGUUCAAGCCCAUGUCGGGCUCUGAGCUGACAGCACAGAGCCUGCUUGAGAUUCUCCCUCUCCCUCUUUCUCUGUCUCUCCCUCUUUCAAAGUGAAUAAAUGUAAGAAAAAGUUAUUUGAAAGCAAGAGUCAGCAAGCCACAUCCCGUGGGCCACAUCGGAUCCGUGGACACUUUUUGUAAACGUGGCUUCAUUAGAACAUGGCUGUGUUCGUUCAUCUGGGCCUUGGUAACCCGGCACCAUCAGCUGUGGUCUCAAACAUGUUCUCAUCCUGCCUUCCGGCCAUAGCAUUCAGAAAACACUCCCUGGACAUUUGCUGUGUACAGACAUGCUAGGGGCUGGGGACACACAGGUGCCUGGAAUGUGGCACCCUCCCGCAUCUGUGGAGAGGAUGAGUAUCCGCUCGUUAUUCCCAGCAUGCUCGCGCCUCCCAUUCCAGGCAGAAGGCCCCGGUAGCCCAGAGAGGCUGUUCUGCGCUCUGCCCUGCAGGAUGCGGGGGUGGGCAGGGGAGCUGGCAGGUACGGUGUCCCUAGUGGAGCACGCCAGGAAAGCAGAGAUCUUUGGGGGGGCAAGAUGCGUGGACGGGGCUUCAGGUGGCUCAGUCUUGGGCUACAAAUCCCAGACAGGCGGGGAGGCCAGGGAGGGGCCCAGGAGUCAGGGGGUAAGUGCGGGGACUGCUGGGCUUCCUUGGAUGUCACGUUGUUGUCAGCCCCCUCGUUCAUCCAUUGGGCUGUUCAGCACAGAUUUGACCACUUUCUAGGCUCGAGAGUCUGAGAGCUAGAACUCACAUAACACAGUCCUUGCCGUCCAGCCACAGACACGUGGGGAGAGCAGCAGGGCACGGGGCCUCAGAGCACAGAGUGGCCGGCUGGUUCUUCCCGCAGAAGGGGACUUCCUAAAUCUCACCGAGCCUCACGCGUCCCAGGAAGAGUAACUCCCCUUCUGAAAUGUGACCUGCACGGGAGUGACAGGUAGGAAUGUGCAGAAGUACAUGUGAGAGGGGCGCCUGGGUGGCUCAGUCGGUUAAGCGGCCGACUUCGGCUCAGGUCACGAUCUCGCGGUCCGUGAGUUUGAGCCCCGCGUCGGGCUCUGUGCUGAUGGCUCGGAGCCUGGAGCCUGUUUCCGAUUCUGUGUCUCCCUUUCUCUGACCCUCCCCCAUUCAUACUCUGUCUCUCUCUGUCUCAAAAAUAAAUAAACGUUAAAAAAAAAAAAUUUUUUUAAAGAAGUA
Molecule: long non-coding RNA, 2848 nt
Organism: Neofelis nebulosa (Clouded leopard)
Lineage: Eukaryota; Metazoa; Chordata; Mammalia; Carnivora; Felidae
Exons: 2
Source: RefSeq, a predicted model, not a curated record